The sequence is a ribosomal RNA, 1849 nucleotides long. It matches the Rfam family "Bacterial large subunit ribosomal RNA", at positions 1 to 1935 of the family's 2925-position model.
GUUAUAGGGUCAAGUGACUAAGAGCAUAUGGUGGAUGCCUUGGCGAUUACAGGCGAUGAAAGACGUGAUAGCCUGCGAAAAGCUUCGGGGAGCUGGCAAAUAAGCUUUGAUCCGGAGAUGUCUGAAUGGGGAAACCCACCCGCAAGGGUAUCAACAGCUCAAUACAUAGGCUGUUGAAGCGAACCUGGAGAACUGAAACAUCUAAGUACCCAGANGGAAGAGCCUUCUAGUGAUAGUCGACGAGUUAACAAAACGGCAUGGAAAGGCCGGCCAUAGUAGGUGAUAGCCCUGUAUGUGAAAACUUGUCGGUGGUACUGAGCUAGAGAAAAGUAGGGCGGGACACGUGUAAUCCUGUCUGAAUAUGGGGGGACCAUCCUCCAAGGCUAAAUACUCGUAAUCGACCGAUAGUGAACCAGUACCGUGAGGGAAAGGCGAAAAGAACCCCGGGAGGGGAGUGAAAUAGAUCCUGAAACCGUAUGCUUACAAAAAGUCGGAGCCUCGUAAGGGGUGACGGCGUACCUUUUGUAUAAUGGGUCAGCGACUUACAUUCAGUGGCAAGCUUAACCGAGUAGGGAAGGCGUAGAGAAAUCGAGUCCGAAUAGGGCGUUUUUAGUCGCUGGGUGUAGACCCGAAACCAAGUGAUCUAACCAUGGCCAGGAUGAAGGUGCCGUAACAGGUACUGGAGGUCCGAACCGACUGAUGUUGCAAAAUCAGCGGAUGAGCUGUGGUUAGGGGUGAAAGGCUAAACAAACUUGGAAAUAGCUGGUUCUCUCCGAAAACUAUUUAGGUAGUGCCUCAAGUAUUACCUGCGGGGGUAGAGCACUGUUUUGGCUAGGGGGUCAUGGCGACUUACCAAACCAAGGCAAACUCCGAAUACCGCAGAGUACAGCUUGGGAGACAGAGCACCGGGUGCUAACGUCCGGACUCAAGAGGGAAACAACCCAGACCGCCAGCUAAGGUCCCUAAAAUUGGCUAAGUGGGAAACGAAGUGGGAAGGCUAAAACAGUCAGGAUGUUGGCUUAGAAGCAGCCAUCAUUUAAAGAAAGCGUAAUAGCUCACUGAUCGAGUCGUCCUGCGCGGAAGAUGUAACGGGGCUAAGCCAGUUACCGAAGCUGCGGAUGUGCAAUUUAUUGCACGUGGUAGGAGAGCGUUCUGUAAGCCUGUGAAGGUGUCUGGUAACGGAUGCUGGAGGUAUCAGAAGUGCGAAUGCUGACAUGAGUAGCGUUAAAAGGGGUGAAAAGCCCCUUCGCCGUAAGCGCAAGGUUUCCUACGCAACGUUCAUCGGCGUAGGGUGAGUCGGCCCCUAAGGCGAGGCAGAGAUGCGUAGCUGAUGGGAAACAGGUCAAUAUUCCUGUACCGAUCAAUAGUGCGAUGUGGGGACGGAGAAGGUUAGCUCAGCCACCUGUUGGAAUAGGUGGUUCAAGCGUGUAGUCGUGCCUGGUAGGCAAAUCCGCCGGGCUUAGAUGAGGCGUGAUAACGAGUGUGCUUGCACACGAAGUGAGUGAUACCCUGCUUCCAGGAAAAGCCACUAAGCUUCAGCUAUUGAUUGACCGUACCGCAAACCGACACUGGUGCGCGAGAUGAGUAUUCUAAGGCGCUUGAGAGAACUCUGGAGAAGGAACUCGGCAAAUUGAUACCGUAACUUCGGGAGAAGGUAUGCCCUCGGUAUGUGAAGUUGAACAAACGGAGCAGAAAAGGGUUGCAAAAAAUCGGUGGCUGCAACUGUUUAAUAAAAACACAGCACUCUGCAAACACGAAAGUGGACGUAUAGGGUGUGACGCCUGCCCGGUGCUGGAAGAUUAAAUGAUGGGGUGCAAGCUCUUGAUUGAAGUCCCAGUAAACGGCGGCC